UCCGAGUUGACCCCGGCAGUCUCCCAUGAGUCCCCACCAUUACGUGCUGGCAACAUGGAACGAGGGUUGCGCUCGUUGCGGGACUUAACCCAACAUCUCACGACACGAGCUGGCGACAGCCAUGCAGCACCUGUGUGUAGGUCCCGUAAGGGAAGGAAUCCAUCUCUGGAAACCGUCCUACCAUGUCAAACGCUGGUAAGGUUCUGCGCGUUGCUUCGAAUUAAACCACAUCAUCCACCGCUUGUGCGGGUCCCCGUCAAUUCCUUUGAGUUUCACCCUUGCGGGCGUACUCCCCAGGUGGCUCACUUAACGCUUUCGCUGGGACGCAUACUGUCUAUCGCAUACAUCGAGUGAGCAUCGUUUACAGCGUGGACUAC
RNAcentral lists this unclassified non-coding RNA (377 nucleotides) under uncultured bacterium. RNAcentral's name for it is "contains 16S-23S intergenic spacer region". The record is from RNAcentral.